Molecule: unclassified non-coding RNA, 2715 nt
Filed under: Leishmania donovani
Lineage: Eukaryota; Euglenozoa; Kinetoplastea; Trypanosomatida; Trypanosomatidae
Description: gene:LdHU3.29.2180(CDS-product:hypothetical_prote in_conserved)
Source: RNAcentral
CGAUUGUGCGAGUACGAGAAACGUGCCAAGGUGGAGCCCAAAGGUAAAGACGCUUCUUCCGACUCUUUCUCCACGCGUGCAGGCAGGCCCGUUUUUUCCCGCGCAACUGUGCGCUUUUUUUGUAUACUUUCGAUUUUUCUUUAUUUGCGUGUUGCGUGUGGCCGGCACGCCCACUCUUGCGUGCCACUGCGGCCGCUCCCUUUUCUUUCGCAUUCGUGUCCCUGUGUAUGUGUGGGACUCACAGCAUCUUGGGGCCUCUCGUGAGACUGCUAAAUACGUGCACCCUAGCGCCACGAACCCGCGAAGCGUACGUUGCACGCCGCACAAGGCUACCCAAAUCUUGUUAGCUCUGCUGAGAUGCCGCGCAUCAAGAAGCCGCGUAACAAGGGUGUCACCUAUAAGCUGGUGCCCCGCUCGUAUGGCGAUGCUGAUGGCGAGGACCAGGGCCCUUUGUGGGUGAGCGAGGCGGAGCUCUUUCGCCGACACCAGAGCGCCGUUCCCGCUGAAGAUGAAGACGCGGCGCGACGCCAGUUUAACAUGUACGCCGUCGCCGCGAACGCCGAGUUCAACGACGAGCGUCGCGGUCGCCGUGCCGAGGAAGGUGAGGACGACGCGUGUGGCGUGUACGACGAUGGAGAGGCGGAUGCAGAGGAGCAAUCGCAUGAGGAGGAGUAUUAUGACGAACACGGCGAGGAGGACGGUGAGUGGGUCGACGGUGACUGGAGGGACGAGGAGAAGCCAGAGGCCCCACACCUGCGAGUGGCAAUGCAGAAGGCUGCGCUGCCGCCCACUUCUGCUGCUGACCCAGCGUUGGCGUCUAGCUGCCCACCGGCGGCUGCCGCUUGCCCGCGCGACGAGGAUGGCCAUGAGAGCGAGGUGGCUAGUGAGGCCGACGAAGAGCAAGAGGAGGAGAAACUCUUUGAUGACGAGGUGGAAGGCGAGGUGACGGACGACUUCCUGCGCCAGCUUGUCUUUGGCAGCGGUGGCGAUGGCGAGGGCGACGAGGACGGCGACGACGGCGACGACUGGGACGGACUCGACCAGGAAGAUAGCGAGAUGUGGCGGUUGCUGACGGACGACGAGAAGGCGGCCGUCAAGGCUUCACGCCGACGCAGCACGGCACGGCGACGUCGUGUUGUCGCCGCAGUGGUUGGCGAGGAGGGAGGACUGAGCCGCACUCACGCGGCCGACGGGACGGAGUAUCCAACGCACGACACCACCCAGCGGGCGGUGGAUCGGCAGUUCACGGAGAUGAUGCGCGAGUUCGAUGCCGAUGCGCGACUCAACGACGCCUACACCGAUGAUCCUCGUACGCACGGCGCGCUGCCGAUGGAUAAGUACCUCACUGCCUUGGAGGAGUUCGUGGCAAGCAGGGCCGGCAUAGACGUCGAGACUGCAGAGCCGCACAAAAACAAAGGCCUCAUUCAGCAGCUCAAGUACCUCUCAUACCACGCCGGCGCCUUCGACUCUGACGCGCGUGGUGUUUACAUGACGACGAUACUGCCAGAAAAGCAGCAGCGCUUCGUGGAGGAAUUUCAGAAAGGCACUGAAGAGAUCCGCCGUGCCGCGCGCGUGCGUUUGGCAGCACGCAACGCUGGUGCCACUGCCGCUGCUAAUGCUGCUGCGGCGGCAUCGCCGUCGGAGGGAGACGGCACGACUGGGGAGGAGGAGGAGGAGCUGAUUGUCAUGGAGGUGAAAUCAAAGGCGGAUCGACUGGACUGCGAGACGGCCAUCAGCGCGCACUCGACGUACUACAAUCAGCCAAACGUGAUUCAAGCACCGCGCCGCUCUGCGCAGGCGCGCAGGGUGAAGAAGGCGCCAGUAUCGCGUCGCGGCGGCGAGCUAAUAGACACAGAGGCGGAGAGCAACAAUAGUCACCGUAACGGCGACACCGACACCUCCGCCACAACAUUGGUGAGGGGGGACAUGAUCAGCGCCGGGGCUGCCCUUAGCAGCAGCGGCAGCGGCAACACUGCUACUAGUAGAAUCAGCAGCUCCGCCAAGAAGGGUGCCAAGACGGUGCAGGUGUGUGAGCCGACCUGCGACUCUGACAGCGAGGGCACUGCGCCGGUAGACAGAGGGCACCGAGCCGUCGAUGUGGUGCUCACGGUCCGUCGCAAGGACGAAACCAAAGAGGAGAAAAUGAUGCGCCGGCAGGCUGUGAAGGCUGCCCAGCGCGAGCGUCGGCAGGCAAAGAGCGCCCUCAAGCACACUUACAAGGAGGUGGAGUCGGAAGAGCUGAGGCGGUCUGCUACCUCGCAGGCGGCGCGUCGCACCGUCCACUUUAUGUAAGAAGGGGGGAGAUUGAGGGGGAGGUGAGGAGAAAUGGAUGUCGGAGGACUCGCCGCAACGCCCAGGCAGCACUUGGCGCCCUGCGCGUGUGGAUGUGUGAGCACGCGUGUAGGGUUUGCAGUUUGACGGGUAAUGCGUCGAUAGGCGCGUCUCUUUUCCUUUUUUUUUGUGGGUGAUGCCAGCUAAAAAAAUGCGAGCCCUUCCACCAAUUUCCCUCCGGCCCCCCCCCCCCACCCCCAACAACAAGAAAACGAAAAUAACACAGAACUAAUUCGACGCGGUAAACCAGUAAAAGGAGAGAGAACAUGAAGCGAGGUCGUUGGUGCGCUUCAUCCUUCUCUACUAAGCACUACUCUUCAUACUGCCUCUCCCUUGCUCUAACACAUCUCUCACGAUUGUUCGUGCGCACGGUACAGUCCUCAG